UACGUAGGGGGCAAGCGUUAUCCGGAAUUACUGGGUGUAAAGGGAGCGUAGACGGUGAUGCAAGUCUGAAGUGAAAUGCGGGGGCUCAACCCCUGAACUGCUUUGGAAACUGUAUGACUUGAGUACCGGAGAGGUAGGCGGAAUUCCCAGUGUAGCGGUGAAAUGCGUAGAUAUUAGGAGGAACACCGGUGGCGAAGGCGGCUUACUGGACGGUAACUGACGUUGAGGCUCGAAGGCGUGGGGAGCAAAC
Molecule: ribosomal RNA, 250 nt
Filed under: uncultured prokaryote
Description: partial 16S ribosomal RNA
Rfam family: Bacterial small subunit ribosomal RNA
Source: RNAcentral